This 548-nucleotide ribosomal RNA is filed under the name Bifidobacterium breve. Its description in RNAcentral is "bacterial SSU rRNA". It matches the Rfam family "Bacterial small subunit ribosomal RNA", at positions 154 to 711 of the family's 1533-position model. The record is from RNAcentral. Lineage: Bacteria; Bacillati; Actinomycetota; Actinomycetes; Bifidobacteriales; Bifidobacteriaceae.
AAACGGGUGGUAAUGCCGGAUGCUCCAUCACACUGCAUGGUGUGUUGGGAAAGCCUUUGCGGCAUGGGAUGGGGUCGCGUCCUAUCAGCUUGAUGGCGGGGUAACGGCCCACCAUGGCUUCGACGGGUAGCCGGCCUGAGAGGGCGACCGGCCACAUUGGGACUGAGAUACGGCCCAGACUCCUACGGGAGGCAGCAGUGGGGAAUAUUGCACAAUGGGCGCAAGCCUGAUGCAGCGACGCCGCGUGAGGGAUGGAGGCCUUCGGGUUGUAAACCUCUUUUGUUAGGGAGCAAGGCAUUUUGUGUUGAGUGUACCUUUCGAAUAAGCACCGGCUAACUACGUGCCAGCAGCCGCGGUAAUACGUAGGGUGCAAGCGUUAUCCGGAAUUAUUGGGCGUAAAGGGCUCGUAGGCGGUUCGUCGCGUCCGGUGUGAAAGUCCAUCGCUUAACGGUGGAUCCGCGCCGGGUACGGGCGGGCUUGAGUGCGGUAGGGGAGACUGGAAUUCCCGGUGUAACGGUGGAAUGUGUAGAUAUCGAAAAAGAACACCA